This 622-nucleotide ribosomal RNA is filed under the name Scytonema sp. R02. RNAcentral describes it as "bacterial SSU rRNA". It matches the Rfam family "Bacterial small subunit ribosomal RNA", at positions 140 to 797 of the family's 1533-position model. Lineage: Bacteria; Bacillati; Cyanobacteriota; Cyanophyceae; Nostocales; Scytonemataceae. The record is from RNAcentral.
GGGACAACCACUGGAAACGGUGGCUAAUACCGGGUGUGCCGAAAGGUGAAAGGUUARCYGCCYGGRGAUGAGCUCGCGUCYGAUUAGCUAGUUGGKAGGGUAAGAGCUUACCMAGGCGACGAUCAGUAGCUGGUCUGAGAGGACGAUCAGCCACRCUGGGACUGAGACACGGCCCAGACUCCUACGGGAGGCAGCAGUGGGGAAUUUUCCGCAAUGGGCGAAAGCCUGACGGAGCAWUWCCGCGUGAGGGAGGAAGGCUCUUGGGUUGUAAACCUCUUUUCUCAGGGAAGAUAAUGACGGUACUUGAGGAAUCAGCAUCGGCUAACUCCGUGCCAGCAGCCGCGGUAAUACGGAGGAUGCAAGCGUUAUCCGGAAUGAUUGGGCGUAAAGCGUUCGCAGGUGGCAUUGAAAGUCUGCUGUUAAAGAGUUUGGCUCAACCAAAUACAGGCAGUGGAAACUACAAAGCUAGAGUGCGGUAGGGGCAGAGGGAAUUCCUGGUGUAGCGGUGAAAUGCGUAGAGUUCAGGAAGAACACCGGUGGCGAAAGCGCUCUGCUAGACCGCAACUGACACUGAGGGACGAAAGCUAGGGGAGCGAAAGGGAUUAGAUACCCCCGUAGUCAA